UGAGUAACCUGCCCUUAACUCUGGGAUAAGCCUGGGAAACUGGGUCUAAUACCGGAUAUGACUCCUCAUCGCAUGGUGGGGGGUGGAAAGCUUUUUUGUGGUUUUUGGAUGGACUCGCGGCCUAUCGNUNUUGUGNGAGUAG
RNAcentral lists this ribosomal RNA (142 nucleotides) under uncultured bacterium. RNAcentral describes it as "partial 16S ribosomal RNA". It matches the Rfam family "Bacterial small subunit ribosomal RNA", at positions 118 to 260 of the family's 1533-position model. The record is from RNAcentral.